Phlebotomus papatasi is the source of this 83-nucleotide non-coding RNA. The record is from Rfam. NCBI's taxonomy places the organism in Eukaryota, Metazoa, Arthropoda, Insecta, Diptera, Psychodidae.
GCAGUCGUGGCCGAGUGGACUAAGGCGUCUGACUCGAAAUCAGAUUCGCUCUGCGAGCGCAGGUUCGAAUCCUGCCGGCUGCG